UACUUCCUUUGUGAUCUCCUA
This is a non-coding RNA of Caenorhabditis elegans, 21 nucleotides long. NCBI's taxonomy places the organism in Eukaryota, Metazoa, Nematoda, Chromadorea, Rhabditida, Rhabditidae. The record is from Ensembl.